RNAcentral lists this non-coding RNA (51 nucleotides) under Goniomonas pacifica. Lineage: Eukaryota; Cryptophyceae; Goniomonadida; Goniomonadaceae. The record is from RNAcentral.
UUGGACCUCAGACAGCUUUCCUCGUUAGCCGAAUCGCUAGCCAAUCGUGUG